GAUGAACGCUGGCGGCGUGCCUAAUACAUGCCAGUCGAGCGAACGGACGAGAAGCUUGCUUCUCUGAUGUUAGCGGCGGACGGGUGAGUAACACGUGGAUAACCUACCUAUAAGACUGGGAUAACUUCGGGAAACCGGAGCUAAUACCGGAUGAUAUUUUGAACCGCAUGGUUCAAAAGUGAAAGACGGUCUUGCCGUCACUUAUAGAUGGAUCCGCGCUGCAUUAGCUAGUUGGUAAGGUAACGGCUUACCAAGGCAACGAUGCAUAGCCGACCUGAGAGGGUGAUCGGCCACACUGGAACUGAGACACGGUCCAGACUCCUACGGGAGGCAGCAGUAGGGAAUCUUCCGCAAUGGGCGAAAGCCUGACGGAGCAACGCCGCGUGAGUGAUGAAGGUCUUCGGAUCGUAAAACUCUGUUAUUAGGGAAGAACAUAUGUGUAAGUAACUGUGCACAUCUUGACGGUACCUAAUCAGAAAGCCACGGCUAACUACGUG
Molecule: ribosomal RNA, 497 nt
Filed under: uncultured bacterium
Lineage: Bacteria
Description: partial 16S ribosomal RNA
Rfam family: Bacterial small subunit ribosomal RNA
Source: RNAcentral